Molecule: non-coding RNA, 72 nt
Organism: Phrynosoma platyrhinos (Desert horned lizard)
Lineage: Eukaryota; Metazoa; Chordata; Lepidosauria; Squamata; Phrynosomatidae
Source: the annotation of a GenBank genome assembly
GCAAGGGUGGCAUAGUGGUUUCAGUGUUGGACUAUGACUCUGAAGACCAAGGUUCAAAUUUUUGCUUAGUCA